GUGCUCGCUUCGGCAGUACAUAGACUAAAAUUGGAACGAUAGAGAUCAGCGUGGCCCCUGCGCAAGGAUGACACGCAAAUUCGUGAAGCCUUCCAUAUUAAA
Suncus etruscus (white-toothed pygmy shrew) is the source of this 102-nucleotide small nuclear RNA. Lineage: Eukaryota; Metazoa; Chordata; Mammalia; Eulipotyphla; Soricidae. The record is from RefSeq and is a predicted model, not a curated record.